RNAcentral lists this small nuclear RNA (18 nucleotides) under Arabidopsis thaliana (thale cress). Its description in RNAcentral is "snRNA_05400". The record is from RNAcentral. Lineage: Eukaryota; Viridiplantae; Streptophyta; Magnoliopsida; Brassicales; Brassicaceae.
UGGAAAGGGGCGCCAGAG